Acanthosepion pharaonis is the source of this 105-nucleotide non-coding RNA. Lineage: Eukaryota; Metazoa; Mollusca; Cephalopoda; Sepiida; Sepiidae. The record is from the annotation of a GenBank genome assembly.
UUACGGCCAUAUCACGUUGAAACAUCGGUUCUCAUAUGACCAUCGAAGUUAAGCAACGUCGAGCCUGGUCAGUAUGUAGAUGGGUAACCGCUUGAAAAUACCAGG